Megalops atlanticus (tarpon) is the source of this 78-nucleotide non-coding RNA. The record is from the annotation of a GenBank genome assembly. Lineage: Eukaryota; Metazoa; Chordata; Actinopteri; Elopiformes; Megalopidae.
GGCAGUGUAGCAUAGUGGUUAAUGCGCAGGACUUGUAACUAAAAGGUUGCUGGUUCAGUCCCCACUGGGGCACUGCUG